CUUCCCCUCAGCCGUUGCCAAAAUUACAUGCUACACAAUACUUUUUUCUUUUUUUUUCCACGUAUGUGUGUUAUGCGUUGUGUUAAUAACACACAACAAGCUCACAUACAAGUCAAAGUUACGAUGUUAAUUCAAGGAUUGUGGGUAGUGUAGUACUUCGGCCAAAACCACAAAGAUUUAUGGCUUGCAGAAGAACCAUAUACCCUCAAUUAAAAACUGCAGAGGUUGUUGUAGGCUUGUUGUUCCACCGUCCACCGUUCCGCCACUAAGAGACUGCCCUGCCCAGAGGGCCUGCUCAGUGUCGCCAGAUAGAGCAAUCAGCAGAGACAGAGAGAGUAACAAGGGAGACGAAGAGAGAGGGUACAUACCCACUUCACCGCCAGCCUUCCUCUUUCACACUCCCAGACACAUCCUCUGCUCAGAGGCCGGCAGGAAGGGAAGGGAGGAAGGGAGAGAGCACAAGAGGGACGGAGGGAAAGCGGGCACUCCGCCCUCUAAAUGAUCCAGAUGGUGAGCGAGCACCAUAAUAACCAGAGGACUGUGACACACUAACAGAGCUUUUUGACUGAGGCUAAUAGUUCCCUCUGGACUGAAAUGUGGAGUGAUGUAGCUUUCUCGUCGAAGGGUGGAGAUGCAUCCUUUAUAACUACAGAGCAAAUGUAUAUAGGAAAUACAAAAGGGUGACCUCUGCCAGUUUCUCUAUAACUUUUCCACCCCCUUUAUUUAUUGAUGUCAGUUGUGGGAUAUGCAGCUGUGUGUUUUGUGGUCACCCUCCCCUGUCACCACCUUAAAUGAAACACCACCCAACGGAUCGAAGGGAACGGGAAGUCUAUUUCAGAAGUAGUCAUCCAAACACAGGGAGGACUUCCUGUCUGACAUUCCUGACCUGUGCUGAC
Long non-coding RNA from Cyprinus carpio (common carp), 896 nucleotides. RefSeq lists it as uncharacterized. Lineage: Eukaryota; Metazoa; Chordata; Actinopteri; Cypriniformes; Cyprinidae. The transcript is spliced from 4 exons. The record is from RefSeq and is a predicted model, not a curated record.